This is a long non-coding RNA of Ipomoea nil (Japanese morning glory), 129 nucleotides long. RefSeq lists it as uncharacterized. The transcript is spliced from 4 exons. The record is from RefSeq and is a predicted model, not a curated record. NCBI's taxonomy places the organism in Eukaryota, Viridiplantae, Streptophyta, Magnoliopsida, Solanales, Convolvulaceae.
UAGAUAGAACCUUUGUAGCCUGUGCGGGCGUUUGGGUUUAGAUGGUUGUCCAAGCGUGGCAUAACACCCCUUUUGUUUUAAAGUUUGAAUUCGCUUCCGCAUUUCAAUUCCAUUAUGGUUAGUGAGAAG